CCCCUAGACGUUCUGGGCUGCACGCGCGCUACAAUAAUACGCACAGCGAGUAUCACCGAGCUCGAAAGGGCAAGGUAAACAAUAGAAAAGGUACUGUAAUGGUUAUAGAUCCUUGUAAUUAUUGAUCUUCAACGAGGAAUUCCUAGUAAGUAUGUGUCAUCAUCACGCACUGAUUACGUCCCUGCCCUUUGUACACACCGCCCGUCGCUCCUACCGAUUGAGUGUUCCGGUGAAUAAUUCGGACUGCAGCAGCGUGGGGACUCCUCAUACUGCAGCGGAAAGUUUGGUGAACCUUAACACUUAGAGGAAGGAGAAGUCGUAACA
Molecule: ribosomal RNA, 324 nt
Filed under: uncultured eukaryote
Lineage: Eukaryota
Description: partial 18S ribosomal RNA
Rfam family: Eukaryotic small subunit ribosomal RNA
Source: RNAcentral